This 27-nucleotide small RNA is filed under the name Bombyx mori (domestic silkworm). RNAcentral describes it as "ovarian small RNA-28759". The record is from RNAcentral. Lineage: Eukaryota; Metazoa; Arthropoda; Insecta; Lepidoptera; Bombycidae.
UCGCGAAGUCUUCGUCAAUCAGCGAGA